Long non-coding RNA from Myxocyprinus asiaticus (Chinese sucker), 2599 nucleotides. RefSeq lists it as uncharacterized. The record is from RefSeq and is a predicted model, not a curated record. The transcript is spliced from 3 exons. Lineage: Eukaryota; Metazoa; Chordata; Actinopteri; Cypriniformes; Catostomidae.
AAAUAAAUAAAUAAAUAAAUAAAUAAAUGUAAUAAUAUGAAAAUAAAUUAAGGAAUAAAUGUCAUGAUAAAACAAAUAUAAUUAGUUUUUAAUUAAAUUUAGUCCUGAAUUUAUUUUUUUAUGACUUUUUUCCUUUAUUAUUUUCUGUAUUUAUUUUUAACUGUAUUUUUAUGCUUUUUUUUUACUUUUAUUUAUUUAUUCAUUUAUUUUGCAUUGUUUUUAUUUUUAUUUAUGUGUUCAUUUAUUUUUAUAUUUAUUUAUUCCCACAUAUAUUUAUUUCCAUAUUUAUAUAUUCCCAUAUAUAUAUAUUUAUUUAUACAUGUAUUUAUUUUUACUUUUCUGUGUGCAACAUGGAAAUGAGGGAGGUAGUCCUUGCCUAGCUCCAGUGCAUCAUUGGUUGAUAGCUCACGUACAGAAGCGUCAAAUCUACCUAAGGGAUAGAUCGGAGUUUUUUAAAAGAAAUGGCGGCAAGUAGCAAUACGCUGUCUAAAUUGCGACGGGAUGUGGCAGAUCAACUGGAGAGUUGUAAGUUAUUUUCACAGAUUCGCAUUAUGUCGAAUUAUUUUGUAGCGAAAACGAUUUUCCAGAUGUAGUAUGUUGUGCUUCCUUACAGCAUCAUCAUCAUCAUCAUCAAGUCCGGAACCAUCAACGUCGUAAGAUUAAAGGUUGAUGACACCCAGUGGACGGUAGGUUUCUAGUCUAAUGCCUGUGUUUAUUUUGUAAUCACGGCGAAAAUCUUGACUGCAUUAUCUUAAAUUAUCUGUGCUGCGUUUCCCAACCAACCAAUGGUUUCUACGAAGAACGAAUCAAUCCAGGAUCGUGUCAAAUCCGUAACAAUGAAAUCCAAAUAACUCAUUAAUGAACGUAUAAUGAAUGGGCUCACUUGCUCUUUCUCUGCACUUCAAAGAUGAUCAUUGUUUGCUUUCUUACACUUUCUAGCCGAAGUUGCAAGACUAUUUAGUCCUUCCAACAGAGGAAGAGGAUUGGCAAGACGGAUGAGUCGUGCAGUAUCCUGCAGCUUUACUCAAUUUCUGCUGUCUUGAUGAUAAAAAUGCAGAUUUGGUAACCAGUAUUGUAGAAAAGAGCGGUUGUUUUCUGCUGGGUUAGGGGUGAGAGUGUGACGUAUCGAGGUAUUUACUUUAGAGCUUUGUUUAAAAGUGAGGUUUUCUUGAGCACAUUUGGAUUAUUAAUUAUUAUCUUUAAUGAUAAAAAUGAUAAGGUCUGUCAGUAGUCAUUUAACAAUCUAAACAUGAAAUACAAACACUAGGCUGCAGGUGUAGCUUUUAAAACAUACACCAUCUGACUGAACACUGCCAGUACUGAAAAGUUAAAGAUAUGUAAAUGAUAAAUGUCAGAUAUGUCUUAGUAUCUUUACAUGUUAUCUUUUUUUAUUAUUCUUAAAGGAUGCCAUACAGAUCCCCAAAAAUUUAAAGAUGUCAUCAUGGUAGCUUUUCCAAAACUCCGACAAAGUGGGGGGUUUGAGUUACUAAAAAUAUCUGGGAACACAAGGAGCCCCCAUCUCAGCUUGAUACCCUGCCCAAAUGAGGGAUACCAUGUAAAGUAUUUGAAAGAUCCUCAAAAUCAAAUUGGUCAUGCAACCAUUUUCAUUCGUCCACUUCAACGAAACUUAGAAGUUGAAUCAACAAGCAAUCCUAACAGAGACGAGUUGAUUGGACCACCUCAGAAAUGUGUUGUGUGUGGAGAUGAAUUCCCGUUUGCAGGUCAGCAGAGGUCAGUGAUGAGGUAGUGAGUGAGAGAGCUACAGAAAGGGCCACUUCAAGUGAUGAUGAAGAUACUACUUGUGCCAUUUUUUUUAAUGCAGCUUCUUCUAAUACCUUGCGGUUUCUGUUCAAAUUCUGGACUGGAUGGGAUGUGCUGCCCAGGAGCCUAGAUGUUGAGGUGGUGGAGGGAAACGUACCAAAGUCUUCCACAUGCUAUCAAACUCUCAAGCUUCCUAGUCAUUAUAAUGACUACAUUACCUUUGAGAGAGACGUUUUAGCUGCUAUCUGGAGCACAGAUUAUGGAUUUGGAAUGGUUUGAUUUCAUACUAAGAAUAUAAAUUAGAUGCUAAAAUUAAUCCAUAUUUACAGGAGUUACUGUUAAAAUUUUCAAUUUUCUGUUUUUGUUACUAAGACAUCAGAUAGCCAGGCAACAAAUUUUGACAUGUUGCAGAGUUCAGAACCUUUGUGUUGUUAAGGCUAUACCAAACUAACAUUUGUCUAAAAAGUUUUUACAAAAAUGUAUUUACUACGAUUCACUAUAAAUAUGGUCUCCUAGACGUUUAGCUGCUAUCUGGAGCACAGAUUAUGGAUAUAGAAUGGUUUGGAAUAAAUUCUUGAGUUACUAAGAAUAUUCACUGGAUGCCAGAGUUAAUCCAUAUUAACUGGAGUUAAUGUUAAAAUGUCCUAAUUUUUGUUUUUGUGACUUUUGUAUUGUAUUAUUCAGAACAGAACCUUCUUGUUGUCAAAGUUAUACCAAACUAACCUUUGGUUAAAGUUAUUUGUAACAUUUAUUGACCUCAGUGCACUACAAAGAUGGUGUGGCUAUUCAAAGCCAGCAUUAUAAAAGUUAACAAGUUGAAUAAAAGUUUUAAGCUGAA